Molecule: long non-coding RNA, 1242 nt
Filed under: Anas platyrhynchos platyrhynchos (common mallard)
Lineage: Eukaryota; Metazoa; Chordata; Aves; Anseriformes; Anatidae
Description: lncRNA (ENSAPLG00000026320.1)
Source: RNAcentral
ACAUCUCAGAGGUGCUUAUGAACGACACUGGCCCUUACCACUGCUAUGUGAAGAUAGGGAACAGCAACCCGACCGAAAAGGUGACUCACCUGCUCGUUAGAGGUCGGCAGCCAUGGGCAGCCUCUGGGGGCCUCAGCUUCUCUGUACCUCCAGGAGGCAAAGUCACCUUGGACUGUGACUUCCCUGCCAAGCUGCCUGGCAGCUUCACCUACCUCUUUUGGCUGCACGAGCAAGACCAGAGCCCACCCCGACUCGUGGCAUGGACAAACACAUCCAGUUUCCAGAACAACAGUGGCAGCACUGGAAGUCGUUUCCAGAGCAUAUUUGACCUGGAAAAUCACUGGAGCCAUCUCAACAUUACCGGGCUGGAAGAGAAGGACAGCGGCUGGUACCAGUGUGAGGGCCUGGGAGAGCUUUCAGGCUGGCAGAGAGGGACGAGAACCCACCUCGCUGUGCAAGGUGAGCUUGUUUUCUGGGACCUUGUGUGCAAGUGAAAUCCUUCUGCUCUGCUAAGGCUUUGUAUUUCACAGUCAGUCUAACACACGGGCUAGAUCUGUUCAGGGCUUGAUGACAGGGUGCGUGUGACACUCCUCAGCUGGGACACAUCCCAACGUGCGGGGUGCCUCUCGUUCGCCUUGCGCUGCCCUGCAGAGCGUGGGGAGUGCAGGCAGGCAGCAGCUGGAGCUGUGUCUGCAGCACGCUCCUACCUGCAACGGGCUGAGAGGGCGGGCUGCCCAGAGUGUGAGCUGCUGUUGUGCUACAAUGGUAAAGCUUUGCAGAGUCACAGAACAUGAAAGUGAGAUGCACGGAUACAUUUAAAGUGUCUACAAAACCACAGAACGUCAUCUGUGAAGAGACACGGGUUACGUGCCCCUUGCUGCAGGGGGUUAUCUGGAAAAGAUACUGGUUGCCUUGAUGGUUCAAGGUUCAGGAACCAAUUUCAUUUCUACCUAACGAUGACAUGGAUUUUUAAUGCAUUUACAUUAAUGUGCACAAGUACCUUUAUCCAGGGCAACUCAGUAACAAAUCCCAGCAGAAUUGUUUGUUGUGUUUGCAGCCUGGCCAAUUAAUCCAGAACACAGUUAGUUGCAAUUUUGCAGUAAUUUGGACUCACCAUGACUCAACUGGGAAAUACCAGAUGUGAGGAUGAAGCAGGCCCCUGUUCUGAAGUGUAGGACAUGCCGUGUCCCCGCUGAUUUGGUGCCCAAAAGAUGUGAUUCAUAUUUGAGGAGAAGCUCUUAA